AAUCCUUCCUUUAGAAAUUGAAAGAGGAGGAGAGGAGGAGAGACCCACAGUUGAUCUCUGAGAAGUGAGUAGCUGGAGGCACCAGGAUACCAGCCAAGCCUAAAGGAUAAAGCAAAUCCCUGGACAUGGCUUUUGAUUCCAAGCUAAGAAGUGCAAGAAGCUCUUCCAAAUACAACUGCAACUGCCAAGAGAUUGAUGGACCAGAGAAUGGCCUCUUCAUUCCAGGCACUUCUAAAGUCCAAGUGGUCAAAUACCAGCCUCUUUUUACCAAUGUUCCCACCUGUUUCAUUCAGCCAAAUUUCAUUAGAUGAAGGUUUGAAUGGUGAAGAAAUGAUGGACGCUGUUUGUCUCAAACAAGGACUCUAAUGAUACAACAGAACAAGUCACAAGAAAGCUUGCCUGGAAAACCAUACACUGGCCUCUUCGUGGUGAAGUCCUUCACAAUCCUUACAAACAUAGAAAAUAUUCAGCAAUUCGUUUGUUUGUUUUCCAGUCCACUCUUACUUGAGAAAAAUGCAAAACAUCAAAGACACAGAAAAACCACCAGUCUAUACAGCUUGCCCAUACUAAAUUGUUAUUCAUUUCAGAAGAGUGUACAGUUUCUUUCUGUAAGACUCUAUUAAACCAGUUACUCUACAAUAGCAAACAUUUUAGGCAAACCUAACCAUUGCUUCCCAUAAAGAUAUUUAUAUCUUUAAGUGGUAUCUGAUUCAUCCCUAAGAAAUAUGUUAUCAAGAUGUUUGUUUGUUUGUUUGUUUGUUCAUUUGUUUUUGAGAUGGAGUUUCACUCUUGUUGCCCAGGCUGGAGUGCAGUGGCAUGAUCUCGGUUCACUGCAACCUCUGCCUCCCGGUUCAAGCGAUUCUCCUGCCUCAGCCUCCCGAGUAGCUGGGAUUACUGGCACCCACCACCACUCCCAGCUAAUUUUUUGUAUUUUUAAUAGAGACGGGGUUUCACCAUGUUGGCCAGGCUGGUCUCAAACUCCUGACCUCAGGUGAUCCACUUGCCUCGACCUCCCAAAGUGCUGGGAUAACAGGCAUGAGCCAUUGCACCCGGCCGAAGAUUUUUGUUUUGACUGUUUUUUUCUGAACUACAGGGAAACGAAGGCUUUUAUGUUAUUGUCCCCCUUUUCUCACUAACUGGACUUCCUGUGACACGUGAAGACGCUAUGCAUGUUUAAUAAAUACACUUUGAAUUUAAUGCUCAAGGAAGAUAAGAUUUUCCGUCUUAAUUCAAUCUAUCUGUCUUGAUCUAGGGUGUUAAUUAGAGUACUGCUUCUGUGGGACAUUAAGAGGAAGAAUGUUAUUAAAAGGGAGAAAAGAUAAUUCCAUGGUCAAAUAGAUUUGAGGAAACUUGAGUUACUCAACUUUAUCAAGUUUCUUUCCUACAGGAUUUUUUUCAGUCCUUAAUAUACAAACGUGCAUAUUGACUCUCCUAAAACUAUUGUCUGUAAUAUAGCUCAGUCUAUUUUCUUCUACUCAGAAUAUUUUGUGCAAUACUUAUCUAGAGUAGUGUUACAUAGAGCCACACUUUGGGAACUGUGUUAGUCUAGAUUUACCACAAACCCCAUCUUCUCACUCAUUUAUUCCAUUAAUAAACUCAUAUGAUUAUCAA
This is a long non-coding RNA of Homo sapiens (human), 1611 nucleotides long. The record is from Ensembl. NCBI's taxonomy places the organism in Eukaryota, Metazoa, Chordata, Mammalia, Primates, Hominidae.